AAGAAAGAGAGGAUAGGAGGAGAAGAAGAAGAGGAAAAAAGAAAAGAAGAAGGAGAAGAAGUGGAGGAGGAGAAGAAAAGAAGAAGAAUAAUAAUAAGAAGACGACGAAUAAGAAGAAGAGGAAGAAGAGGAGGAGGAAGAAGAAGAAGAAGAGGAAGAAUAGGAAGAAUAGGAAGAAGAAGAAGAAGAAGAAGAAGAAAAGGAAGAAGAAGAAAAGGAAGA
This 222-nucleotide long non-coding RNA is filed under the name Hordeum vulgare. RNAcentral's name for it is "long non-coding RNA (HVUL_LNC011903)". Lineage: Eukaryota; Viridiplantae; Streptophyta; Magnoliopsida; Poales; Poaceae. The record is from RNAcentral.